This is a long non-coding RNA of Culex pipiens pallens (northern house mosquito), 3954 nucleotides long. RefSeq lists it as uncharacterized. The record is from RefSeq and is a predicted model, not a curated record. The transcript is spliced from 3 exons. NCBI's taxonomy places the organism in Eukaryota, Metazoa, Arthropoda, Insecta, Diptera, Culicidae.
UAAUCUUCGAACGCUCCCAUUUCGUUUGAGCCGCCGCCUGUCAAGCAGAUCAAGCAUCAAACUUGUCGCCUCGUGUUUUUCAGUUUUCACCGAGGGGCAGUUCACUCCGCGUUAGAAAAACAAAACGCACCAGAACAAGCUCGAAAUUCUAGAACGCUAAGCAAGGCGACGAUUUUUUUCACAACGACGAUAGAAGGCAAGAUAAGGCCAACUAAGGCCCGUUAGCGCUCGUAGGGCGGCUUGCUUCUGCUCGAAUGUAGUGCUGCGAGAAAUCGAUCUUGCAACCUUGACAAACAACACGGUGUUUGUUUUUAUUUUUUCAAGCAGUUUGAUUGUCAAAAGUAAAAAAUCGAAAACGAAAUAAACAAGCAGAAUUAUUUUUUGAGUUUUUCCUGCGCGGAUCGAUGGCCAUUGCCGGAGGAACUGGAACAAGUGUCAGGAUAGCAGUCGAGGUUGCAACUGCCGCCGGAUGUUUGCCGCCGGAUGUUUGCAUUCGGCUGAAGAAUUGUGUUUCGCCAAGGUGCGGAAACUGAGACGCUCGGACAGCGGCACGUCGUGACGAGGUUUCCGAUUCCGUUGGAGAAACUGUUCCCGGAGCAAACGGCGUUGGCCAGGGCGUCACAUUACAACGCGAAUUCUGUUGUUUGGUGGAGGUGGAUAAAGGUUCUGAUCUGACGAACUUGAAACCUUUCUCGAAGGCACAAACAGAACAACCAAUCCUCCAACCGUCUUUCCACGAUUCUUGACCAUCGCGGCACCGCAACUCUACCUGUGCCAUCAAGUAUCGCGGUCGCGGCACACCCAGGCGGAGAAUAACGAAAAACGCAAAGAUGCCGAAUUCAUGCCGGUAAGGUGCGGGUUCCGGCGCAGAACUUGGUUUGCGGUCGUCGGCGUUUGAUGACCUGGGUGAUAACAGGCAGUGUGGGUGCUCAUCGCGUUUGGCCUAGUUUAGUAGGAUCCGGUUGGGCAGAUCAACAAGCUCGUUCCGCCCCGGUCCCAGCGCUGAUCCGCUGCGAGUCGGAACUGAUUCUGUUCAACGCCAGCGGAUCAGCGUCUACGGUGUUUUCUUCGCGAACCAUCCAGACCUGCUUCGCAUCCUAACCGAUACCGGCUUCAACCCGUAGCCCGCAUAGGAUAAGCUGCGGCACAUAGAGAAACGUUUCGUGGGCUACCCUUUGGAAAAGUUAGGGCUUUGGGUGUAGAGAAGGUUGCCGAAAGUUGUCAAUCUAAUUUCCUUGUAUUUAGUUUAGUUUAAUUUAAAAAAAGUAUUGUUAAUUGUAAAAAAAUAUAAAUGAAUGAAAUAUACAAGGGGAAGGGUUUGGGAUAGGCUGCUUAACUGGGAAACGGUUCUGUAAGGAUGGGUUUACCCUCCUCCCGGAAUGAUGACCGUUGCUAGUAUCGUAACGUAAUAGAUGUGACAGACGAUCUCUAUGAUGUGGUCCAUGGCGAAGAAAUGAGUGUGCCGUUUCAGAUCGGACCAUAAACGACAGCUGCGGACAUUCUUACUGGGCCGUUUCAGGAAGGCUUCUUUGACACCGCCACCAGACAUGGAGAAAACGACCUGCGAAUGAUCUGGUGGAUCAGGAAGUUUUGCUAGAGCAUUCAGAAUUUAGUAGAUUGAGCAUUUCCUUGUAGUGGAGGGGACAAGUGUAGGGCUUGUUUUCCUCGUGGGUUAGCAGGUUCCGCUUGAGGUUCGUCCAGGUGGGGAAGAUGUUAACUUUUUCAAGUUUGAGCCGGGUGUUUUUCGGUGUGCGACGUUUUGGUGUAGUUUUUCUUUCCAACAUCCACCCGUCCCGUUGUAGCUUGACCAAACAAUGAUCCUCCUGGAUGACCGCGACGACCCAUCACUUUUACAACUACCGUCAUCAGGGGUGACAUUGGGUCUGGGGGGGUGAGAUUGGGUGAUACAAAUUUCAGCAUUUUUGUAUGACCCAAUCUCAGACAAAAUGAUGACGGUACUGUUUCAGCUCCGGAUUUCUUAAUCGCUGUUCAACCUACUGCUUGCCCGGAAUCGUACACAUCGACACGGAUUCGGAGAAUGGACCGCGGUCUUGCGCUAGGUCGGAAGGAACGAGAUUCUGCCGAGAGAUAUUCUGCUGUGAAGAUCAACAACUUGAUAACCGGUUUCGGAAAGUGGGUUCUGGCAAGGCUAAUGUGUAAAUUUAGUCGGUUGCUUCAGAUAACCAUCUAAAUAUUUAUUUUUAUUUAAAAUUUAAAACAGCUUUUGCUUUUUUCCAUCAAAACAAACUGCCCGAUUAAAUUUACUGCUAGAACUGUCAUUUGCACUUGACAGUUCUCGUUGUCAAAAAAAAUCGAGCAGUUUGACGUGCAACCGCUUCGGAAGGCUAACCAAAAGGAGUGCUAACGCGCGUUAAGGCUUGAAAAGGCACACAAAAGGAGGAAAGUCUUUAAAAAGAGAGUAGCGAACCCAGUAAGGUGCAAAAAUAAACUUAAACGCUCGACAAAGGCGGAAGUGAGCUACCCCUCGGUUUUCACCGAUUUUCAAAGUUUGGCCCGAGGGAGAUGACACUUCCGCGUUGACCGAGCGAUAAAGAUUCCUUUGCUAACCUUUUCAGCGUUCACUUUUACCUUUCCGCUUUUUCAUGCUUUAACUUGCGAUAACCGCGUUAACUCGCGUUUUCGUUUACCUUUUCUUGCGUUUUCGCAUCACACUGCUCGAUUUUUUUGACAGCGAGAACUGUCAAGAGCAAAUGACAGUUCUCGAUGUCAAAUCAGUCGAGCAGUUUGUUGAAAAAAAUUUUCUCCGUCGCCGGACUAGAUCGUCGAUUUAAAAAAAACGGGGGCACCCGGACAGGAGUAAGCAGGACACUGCGGCCCGGCUUUAGCAUGUUGGCAGCAUCCGGACAGAACGGCAGCAACUGCAACCUGAAAGAUCGGCAUUGUUUACCGUCCGCUAAAAAAAUUAAGAAAUACUAAUUCACGCGUUUUGUCUUGUGUUUUGCAUAAAUCCGGUCGCUGUAGUACGUUGCGGACCCGGGAGAAGUGGAGUUCCGGCCCUGUGGUCGCUUUUCGGUGAAAUUGAUCGUGUCGCAGAUUGAGGUUAGGAUGAACGGAUCCGACCGACGCUCGAUCAAUUCCAAAGGUGGAAUGAACGGCAGGUCGACGAACUCCGAAACGGCGAAUUCCAGCGUCUCACAGCAGUUGCAGGAGAUUUACGCAAAGCUGCAAAAGCUGGACGACCUGGAAAAGCUAAGCAAGGACCUCCUUGGGAAGCUGCUGCAGCUUGCGCAUCGGAUCGACGUCGUCUCCGCUGAAAACCUGCUGAAAUGGGGAAUCUAGGAACUGCGGCAAGAUCGGUUGCAUGAGGAAAGGAAGUCCUUAUCAAGGGAAAAAUGUUGGAACGUCCGAAUCAACACCUGGAGGUGUUCCGUGGUGUCUGCGAGCGCGCUGGGUUCAACGCGCCGGACGACGUGAAAGAGGUGCGCCUUCAAGAAAAACAAACGUACUCACGCCGUGCUGGUGAAGUUCUGGAGGGUCGAGGACAAAGGUCGGUUCAUUCGGUGCAUCCUCAAGAACCCAUUGCGCCAUGAGACGGACCAGACGGAUUCGAAAAAAAAAGUUGUACGCGUACUUGAUUGCUCAGUCGCUGCAAUUGAUUGCACGAGACGGAAAUCUACCCAGCAACUGUUCUACCGGCUGAAACACAAAUCUGUCUGCUGUGGAGGAAGCGUCUACAGCAAGAGUGUCGGUAGCGCUAUGAGAGUUUUCCCAGAACGCAGUUGGAUUUCUUUUGAAACAAGUUCUAUUUUUAAGUAUAUUUAUAAGUAGCAUUACAGUCUCUUUUACAGUUCAUGUUGAUAAAGUAUUCUAACUAUAUUUAAAACUCAUCUGACUAGUAGUUUUGUUCAUCUUAAAAGAAACAAUCAUCUUUUCGUUAAAUUUAUGCUCCAGCAGCAUGAUCCGGCAUGAUCCGGCUGUCCGGCCAUCGCUGCA